This 371-nucleotide ribosomal RNA is filed under the name uncultured organism. Its description in RNAcentral is "bacterial SSU rRNA". It matches the Rfam family "Bacterial small subunit ribosomal RNA", at positions 526 to 896 of the family's 1533-position model. The record is from RNAcentral.
CGUAGGGUGCGAGCGUUAAUCAGAAUUACUGGGCGUAAAGCGUGCGCAGGCGGUUUGUUAAGAUAGGCGUGAAAUCCCCGGGCUCAACCUGGGAACUGCGCUUAUGACUGGCAAGCUAGAGUACGGCAGAGGGGGUGGAAUUCCACGUGUAGCAGUGAAAUGCGUAGAGAUGUGGAGGAACACCAAUGGCGAAGGCAGCCCCCUGGGUCGAUACUGACGCUCAUGCACGAAAGCGUGGGUAGCAAACAGGAUUAGAUACCCUGGUAGUCCACGCCCUAAACGAUGUCAACUAGGUGUUGGAUGGGUAAAACCAUUUAGUACCGGAGCUAACGCGUGAAGUUGACCGCCUGGGGAGUACGGCCGCAGGGUUA